UACGUAGGGUGCAAGCGUUAAUCGUAAUUACUGGGCGUAAAGCGUGCGUAGGCGGUUGUGCAAGACAGAUGUGAAAUCCCCGGGCUUAACCUGGGAACUGCAUUUGUGACUGCAUGGCUAGAGUGUGUCAGAGGGAGGUGGAAUUCCACGUGUAGCAGUGAAAUGCGUAGAUAUGUGGAGGAAUACCGAUGGCGAAGGCAGCCUCCUGGGAUAACACUGACGCUCAUGCACGAAAGCGUGGGGAGCAAACAGG
RNAcentral lists this ribosomal RNA (253 nucleotides) under uncultured bacterium. RNAcentral describes it as "partial 16S ribosomal RNA". It matches the Rfam family "Bacterial small subunit ribosomal RNA", at positions 524 to 776 of the family's 1533-position model. The record is from RNAcentral.